GGCGGGUGUGUCGAAAGAUGCAUGGGCCUUGCGGAUGAAACACUCCGCGAGAUCACCCGCCCCGCCGUUCCCGCGCUUCUUUUCUACCCGACAGACAAUCGCGUCUGCGCUUAACUGCCGCGGGCCGCGAGACUCUGUCCGUUUACCAUGAGGAAAUCAUAGUGUUCAAAGCAGGCAUUCUCUUUGCAGUUGAAUACAUUAGCAUGGAAUAAUGAAAUAGGACUUUGGAGACUGACCCGCAGGGGGAGGUUGAUCCGUUUCGUUGGGCUCGAGGCCAAAGUAAUGACUAAUAGGGACAGUCGGGGGCAUCAGUACUUCAUGGCCAGAGGUGAAAUUCUAGGACUCAUGAAAGACUAACUUCUGCGAAAGCAUUUGCCAAGGAUGUUUUCAUUAAUCAAGAACGAAAGCUUGGGGAUCGAAGACGAUCAGACACCGUCCUAGUCCAAGCCUUAAACAAUCGCAAUUCGGGAUCGGAGGCCGUUACUCAAAGACUCCUCCGGCACCGCUAGGGAAACCAAAAUCUUUGGCGUCUUGGGGGAGUAUCGUCGCAAGGCAGAAACUUAAAGGAAUUGACGGAAGGGCACCACCAGGAGUGGAGCCUGCGGCUUAAUUUGACCCAACACGGGAAAACUCACCAGGUCCAGACAUGACUAGGAUUGACAGAUUGACAGCUCUUUCUUGAUUUUAUGGGAAGUGGUGCAUGGCCGUUCUAAGUUGGUGGAGUGAUCUGUCUACUUAAUUGUGAUAACGAACGAGACCUUAACCUGCUAAAUAGUUGGCGGAUUUUUUUACGAAAAUCCGUUCAUUGCAACUUCUUAGAGGGACUCUCCGGGUCGCACCGGAUGGAAGUUUGAGGCGAUAACAGGUCUGUGAUGCCCUUAGAUAACCUGGGCCGCACGCGCGCUACACUGAUGGAGCCAUCAAGUACUCCUAGGCCGGCAGGCCCGGGUAACCUUUUGAAACUCCAUCGUGCUGGGGAUAGACGCUUGCAAUUAUUCAUCUUCAACGAGGAAUUCCUUGUAGGGGCGUGUCAUCAGCACGCCCCGAAUACGUAACUGCCCUUUGUACACACCGCCCGUCGCUCCUACCGAUCGAAUGAUCCGGUGAAGUUUACAGACCCAGGUCCUCCUGGGCGAGAAAUCGCUCAGCGGAUUAGGGAAAGUUGCCUGAACCUUAUCAUUUAGA
Molecule: ribosomal RNA, 1185 nt
Filed under: metagenome
Description: bacterial SSU rRNA
Rfam family: Eukaryotic small subunit ribosomal RNA
Source: RNAcentral